Molecule: ribosomal RNA, 504 nt
Filed under: uncultured bacterium
Lineage: Bacteria
Description: partial 16S ribosomal RNA
Rfam family: Bacterial small subunit ribosomal RNA
Source: RNAcentral
AUUGAACGCUGGCGGCAUUCCUUACACAUGCAAGUCGAACGGCAGCAUGGCGAGCUUGCUCUCUGAUGGCGAGUGGCGAACGGGUGAGUAAUGCAUCGGAACGUACCGUGUAAUGGGGGAUAACGUAGCGAAAGUUACGCUAAUACCGCAUACGACCUGAGGGUGAAAGCAGGGGAUCGCAAGACCUUGCGUUAUACGAGCGGACGAUGUCAGAUUAGAUAGUUGGUGAGGUAAAGGCUGACCAAGGCGACGAUCUGUAGCGGGUCUGAGAGGAUGAUCCGCCACACUGGGACUGAGACACGGCCCAGACUCCUACGGGAGGCAGCAGUGGGGAAUUUUGGACAAUGGGGGCAACCCUGAUCCAGCCAUGCCGCGUGAGUGAAGAAGGCCUUCGGGUUGUAAAGCUCUUUCGGCCGGGAAGAAAUCGCACAGGCUAAUACUCUGUGUGGAUGACGGUACCGGCAUAAGAAGCACCGGCUAACUACGUGCCAGCCGCCGCAGUAA